AGAGCGAACGCUGGCGGCAGGCCUAACACAUGCAAGUCGAGCGCCCGUAGCAAUACGGGAGCGGCAGACGGGAUAGUAACACGUGGGAACGCGCCCUUCGGUUCGGAAUAACUCAGGGAAACUUGAGCUAAUACCGGAUACGCCCUUACGGGGAAAGAUUUAUUGCCGAAGGAACGGCCCGCGUCCGAUUAGCUAGUUGGUGAGGUAAUGGCUCACCAAGGCUACGAUCGGUAGCU
Molecule: ribosomal RNA, 236 nt
Filed under: uncultured bacterium
Lineage: Bacteria
Description: partial small subunit ribosomal RNA
Rfam family: Bacterial small subunit ribosomal RNA
Source: RNAcentral